CGACCCCAGGUCAGGCGGGAUCACCCGCUGAGUUUAAGCAUAUCAAUAAGCGGAGGAAAAGAAACUAACAAGGAUUCCCUUAGUAACGGCGAGCGAACCGGGAAGAGCCCAGCUUGAAAAUCGGAUGUCUUUGGCGUUCGAAUUGUAGUCUGGAGAAGCGUCCUCAGCGACGGACCGGGCCCAAGUUCCCUGGAAAGGGGCGCCAGAGAGGGUGAGAGCCCCGUCGUGCCCGGACCCUGUCGCACCACGAGGCGCUGUCUACGAGUCGGGUUGUUUGGGAAUGCAGCCCCAAUCGGGCGGUAAAUUCCGUCCAAGGCUAAAUAUGGGCGAGAGACCGAUAGCGAACAAGUACCGCGAGGUAAAGAUGAAAAGGACUUUGAAAAGAGAGUCAAAGAGUGCUUGAAAUUGUCGGGAGGGAAGCGGAUGGGGGCCGGCGAUGCGUCCUGGUCGGAUGCGGAACGGAGCAAUCCGGUCCGCCGAUCGAUUCGGGGCGUGGACCGACGCGGAUUAAGGUGGUGACCUAAGCCCGGGCUUUUGUUACGCCCGCGGAGACGUCGCUGCCUUAAUCGUGGUCUGCAGCACGCGCCUCACGGCGUGCCUCGGCAUCUGCGUGCUCAGGGCUUCGGCCUGUGGGCUCCUCAUUCGACCGCUUGAAACACGGACCAAGGAGUCUGACAUGUGUGCAACUCAAUGGGUGAGUAAACCCGUAAGGCGUAAGGAAGCCGAUUGGCUGGAUCCCUCACGGGUGCACAGCCGACCGACCUUGAUCUUCUGAGAAGGGUUCGAGUGUGAGCAUGCCUGUCGGGACCCGAAAGAUGGUGAACUAUGCAUGAGCGGGGCAAAGCCGGAGGAAACUCUGGUGGAGGCCCACAACGAUACUGACAUGCAAAUCGUUCGUCUGACUUGGCUAUAGGGGCGAAAGACUAAUCGAACCAUCUAGUAGUUGGUUCCCUCCGAAGGUUCCCUCAGGAUAGCUGGAGCUCGGAAACGAAUUCUAUCGGGUAAAGCCAAUGAUUUGAGGCAUCGGGGAUGCAAUGUCCUCGACCUAUUCUCAAACUUUAAAUGCGUAGGACGGGGUGGCUGCUUUGUUGAGCCAUCCCACGGAAUCGAGAGCUCCAAGUGGGCCAUUUUUUGUAAGCAGAACUGGCGAUGCGGGAUGAACCGGAAGCCGGGUUACGGUGCCCAACUGCGCGCUAACCUAGAACCCACAAAGGGUGUUGGUCAAUUUAGACAGCAGGACGGUGGUCAUGGAAGUUGAAAUCCGCUAAUGAGUGUGUAACAACUCACCUGCCGAAUCAACUAGCCCCGAAAAUUAAUGGCGCUGACGCGCGCAACAUAUACCCGUCCGUCGGGGCAAGAGCCAUGCCUCGACGAGUAGGAGGGUGCGGCGGUCGCUGCAAAACCUAGGGUGCAAGCCCGGGCGGAGCGGCCAUCGGUGCAGAUCUUGGUGGUACUAGCAAAUAUUCAAAUGAAAACUUUGAAGGCCGAAGAGGGGAAAGGUUCCAUGUGAACGGCACUUUCACAUGGGUUAGUCGAUCCUAAGAGUCGGGGGAAACCCGUCUGAUAGAGCUUAUGCACGAACUUCGAAAGGGGAUCCGGUUAAAAUUCCAGAACCGGGACGUGGCGGUUGACGGCAACGUUAGGGAGUCCGGAGACGUCGGCGGGAAUUCCGGAAAAAGUUAUCUUUUUUGUUUAACAGCCUGCCCACCCUGGAAACGGCUGAGCCGGAGGUAGGCUCCAGCGGCUGGAAGAGCACCGCACGUUGCUUGGUGUCCGGUGCUUUCCCGGUGGCCCUUGAAAAUCCGGAGGACCAAGUGCCGCUCACGCCCGGUUGUUGGUGUCAAAAUUGGUCACGACGGAAUCAAUGGGUAAAAGUCUCUGU
Non-coding RNA from Brassica napus (rape), 1882 nucleotides. The record is from Rfam. Lineage: Eukaryota; Viridiplantae; Streptophyta; Magnoliopsida; Brassicales; Brassicaceae.